GGUGGCUCAGUGGUAGAGUGCUUGCCUCGCAAGCAUGAGGUCCUAGGUUCAAUUCCUCAGCACCA
RNAcentral lists this transfer RNA (65 nucleotides) under Dipodomys ordii (Ord's kangaroo rat). It matches the Rfam family "tRNA". Rfam says of the family: Transfer RNA (tRNA) molecules are approximately 80 nucleotides in length. Their secondary structure includes four short double-helical elements and three loops (D, anti-codon, and T loops). Further hydrogen bonds mediate the characteristic L-shaped molecular structure. tRNAs have two regions of fundamental functional importance: the anti-codon, which is responsible for specific mRNA codon recognition, and the 3' end, to which the tRNAs corresponding amino acid is attached (by aminoacyl-tRNA synthetases). tRNAs cope with the degeneracy of the genetic code in two manners: having more than one tRNA (with a specific anti-codon) for a particular amino acid; and 'wobble' base-pairing, i.e. permitting non-standard base-pairing at the 3rd anti-codon position. The record is from Rfam by way of RNAcentral. Lineage: Eukaryota; Metazoa; Chordata; Mammalia; Rodentia; Heteromyidae.